UAAGGGAAUUUUUCGAAAUUUUUGGAAUUUUUUCGAGAAUUUUUCGGAGUUCGUACGGACGAGUUAACAGGGAUAAAAACGGGGUCCAAGAAAGCCUGUUUAGGUUACCCAUUUUAAAGCGAGGAAAAGUCGAAUUUGUUUAUUCAUUUUCCUUUUUCUUUAUUUCUUUUAUUCUCUUCGUUUCCCUUCUUGCGCCCGACGCCGCCGAAACCCCGUGCCCUAACUGCCCCUAACCGGCGCCUCUCGCUUCUUUUUCUCCACUCUCCCUCUGCUGACAGCCGCUUCUCCCCGAUCCUUUCUUCUCUAGCACCGAGUAGCAUCGCCGGCCAAUCCCUCUUCCUCCUCCCUCGCGACGCCUCUGCCCUAGAUCGGCACCGCACGGAGCAGCAUCAACGCCUUCUCUCGAGUUGUGUUGUCGCGCCGAGACGAGGCCGAGCGCCGGCCACCAGGUUCGGUACCAAUCUCUUGUGCCCUAGCCGAGCCAUCCUCCGCCCGAUUCUUCUCUUCAUCUUCCCAUGCGCCGACGACGCGCAAGCCACCGCCGGUAGGCAGUUUCCCUUGUGGGAGAUCUUUCCCUAGUGUCGACCCUUCUCCUUCUCUUUCGAGUGCAGGUUGCCUCCACGUUGUGGUGUUCGGUGGAUUUAGAAAUUGGGUGUUGUGGGCUGUUCCUAGUUCCAGCAGCAACUCUCUCCAACAACGUCGGUGUCCUCCCGUGCCCUAAUUUCUGACUUAGUUCCCUAACUGUGAUCUGGGAGGUAAGAAAUUGUGUUAUGUAAUUAGGAUUUUUGAUUGGUGAUUUGUGUCUCAAUCUGAUCCGAGCAGUGGGGAAGGUUUCCUGUAGGGCUUGCUUUGCUGUGGAUUGAUCUUGGUUUCGGCAGCACCUCUUUGGCUGCGGAUCAAUAGCAGAGAUCUGUGAAUUAGGGUUGAUGCUGUCAGGAGAGAGUUCCAGUCGCUAGUCCCCUGCAGUCCACGAGGACGAGCGUUGAUCUUGUGGUUUUAUUUAUUAGUCUGUAUUUAGACUUGUUACGUUUUGAUACUUGGAUCUUGUGUAUGGAUUUUGUUUUUACAUAUUGAUGGGUUUGGAUUUGGAUUUGUUUUACUACAUGCCUACCUAGACGGCAGAAGAGGUAAGUUGAUUUUAUCGUCGGAUUUAAGUUUA
Long non-coding RNA from Zingiber officinale, 1159 nucleotides. RefSeq lists it as uncharacterized. NCBI's taxonomy places the organism in Eukaryota, Viridiplantae, Streptophyta, Magnoliopsida, Zingiberales, Zingiberaceae. The record is from RefSeq and is a predicted model, not a curated record. The transcript is spliced from 2 exons.